RNAcentral lists this ribosomal RNA (306 nucleotides) under uncultured bacterium. RNAcentral's name for it is "partial 16S ribosomal RNA". It matches the Rfam family "Bacterial small subunit ribosomal RNA", at positions 507 to 807 of the family's 1533-position model. The record is from RNAcentral.
GACAGCAGCAGCCGCGGGAAUACGUAGGGUGCAAGCGUUAAUCGGAAUUACUGGGCGUAAAGCGUGCGCAGGCGGUUAUAUAAGACAGAUGUGAAAUCCCCGGGCUCAACCUGGGAACUGCAUUUGUGACUGUAUAGCUAGAGUACGGCAGAGGGGGAUGGAAUUCCGCGUGUAGCAGUGAAAUGCGUAGAUAUGCGGAGGAACACCGAUGGCGAAGGCAAUCCCCUGGGCCUGUACUGACGCUCAUGCACGAAAGCGUGGGGAGCAAACAGGAUUAGAUACCCCCGUAGUCCCUGUCUCUUAUAC